AUCCUUUUAGUAUAAUAAAGUAUAUUUAACUUCCAAUUAAAUGGCUCAAUAAAUUGAAAAGGAUA
This 65-nucleotide transfer RNA is filed under the name Sclomina guangxiensis. Its description in RNAcentral is "tRNA-Gly". Lineage: Eukaryota; Metazoa; Arthropoda; Insecta; Hemiptera; Reduviidae. The record is from RNAcentral.